GUUAAAAAGCUCGUAGUCGGAUUUCAGUAUUAGGCCCUUCUUCCAAUACGGUUGCUAGUGGUCUUUACUUCCUUAACAGAAUCUUUCAUCUCAUUAAUUUGGGGUGUUUGGGGCCUGUUUCUUUUACUUUGAGAAAAUUAGAGUGUUCAAAGCGGGUUUUCGCCUGGAUAUUACUCUUGGAAUAAUAAUAUAGGACUUUGGUUCUUUUUUGUUGGUGACUUAGAACCGAAGUAAUGAUUGAUAGGGACAGUUGGGGUCAUUCGUACUAUGAAGCGAGAGGUGAAAUUCAUGGACCUUUGUAUGACGAACUACUGCGAAAGCAUUUGACUAGGAUGUUCCCGUUGAUCAAGAACGAAAGUUGGGGGAUCGAAGACGAUCAGAUACCGUCGUAGUCUCAACCAUAAACUAUGCCAGCUAGGGAUUGGAGGAAGAUCAUUUUACGUCUCCUUCAGCACCUUAUGAGAAAUCAAAGCAUUUGGGUUCCGGGGGGAGUAUGGUCGCAAGGCUGAAACUUAAAGGAGUUGACGGGAGGGCACCACCAGGAGUGGAGCCUGCGGCUUAAU
Molecule: ribosomal RNA, 563 nt
Filed under: uncultured marine eukaryote
Lineage: Eukaryota
Description: SSU rRNA
Rfam family: Eukaryotic small subunit ribosomal RNA
Source: RNAcentral